GAAUAUUCAUUUAUUCCACAGGGAAGCACAAGAGACAGUUGAAAAAAGGCCAAUCCAGGAUCAAUCCAAAAAGGCAAACUGAAUCAAGACUCGUCCUAAUGAGGAUAGAACUCAAUAGGAAAAUCCAUCCCAAUAUAUGUGUUGGGAGGAAACGGAAACAACCGUCAUCCACGAGGAUAUAUCUCAGUGGGGAACUGCAGAAGGAAUGACAGACACUUUCUGCUUAUGGGGAUGAC
This 236-nucleotide long non-coding RNA is filed under the name Lathyrus oleraceus (garden pea). RNAcentral's name for it is "Pisum sativum (pea) long non-coding RNA (PSAT_LNC039186)". Lineage: Eukaryota; Viridiplantae; Streptophyta; Magnoliopsida; Fabales; Fabaceae. The record is from RNAcentral.